Molecule: ribosomal RNA, 112 nt
Filed under: uncultured crenarchaeote
Lineage: Archaea; Thermoproteati; Thermoproteota
Description: 16S ribosomal RNA
Rfam family: Archaeal small subunit ribosomal RNA
Source: RNAcentral
CCCUACGGGGCGCAGCAGCCGCGGUAAACCUCUGCAAUGGGCGAAAGCCUGACAGGGUUACUCUGAGUGAUUUCCGCUAAGGAGAUCUUUUGGCAGCUCUAAAAAUGGUGCA